CCUACGGGUGGCAGCAGUGAGGAAUAUUGGUCAAUGGACGAGAGUCUGAACCAACCAAGUAGCGUGAAGGAUGACUGCCCUAUGGGUUGUAAACUUCUUUUAUAUGGGAAUAAAAUGUUCCACGUGUGGGAUUUUGUAUGUACCAUAUGAAUAAGGAUCGGCUAACUCCGUGCCAGCAGCCGCGGUAAUACGGAGGAUCCGAGCGUUAUCCGGAUUUAUUGGGUUUAAAGGGAGAGUAGGUGGAUUGUUAAGUCAGUUGUGAAAGUUUGCGGCUCAACCGUAAAAUUGCAGUUGAAACUGGCAGUCUUGAGUACAGGAGAGGUGGGCGGAAUGCGUGGUGUAGCGGUGAAAUGCUUAGAUAUCACGAAGAACUCCGAUUGCGAAGGCAGUUCACUGGACUGCAACUGACACUGAGGCUCGAAAGUGUGGGUAUCAAACAGGAUUAGAUACCCUUGUAGUC
This 460-nucleotide ribosomal RNA is filed under the name uncultured bacterium. RNAcentral describes it as "partial 16S ribosomal RNA". It matches the Rfam family "Bacterial small subunit ribosomal RNA", at positions 338 to 795 of the family's 1533-position model. The record is from RNAcentral.